This 138-nucleotide small nucleolar RNA is filed under the name Ornithorhynchus anatinus (platypus). The record is from RNAcentral. Lineage: Eukaryota; Metazoa; Chordata; Mammalia; Monotremata; Ornithorhynchidae.
CCCCUCUCAGGAUUGCACCUGGAGAGUCUCCAGUCCUCUACCAGUCUCCGCUACAGGAGGGCGAGUCAAGCAGAGGCCUACCCAUUGCAUUCCUAGCUUGGCCAGGGGCUAGUGAGUGGAAGGCAAUCUGCCACAAGG